RNAcentral lists this ribosomal RNA (366 nucleotides) under uncultured eukaryote. Its description in RNAcentral is "partial 18S ribosomal RNA". It matches the Rfam family "Eukaryotic small subunit ribosomal RNA", at positions 592 to 976 of the family's 1831-position model. The record is from RNAcentral.
CAAUAGCGUAUAUUAAAGUUGUUGCAGUUAAAAAGCUCGUAGUUGAAUUUCUGGGCGGCCCGCCGGUCUUCCAUGUGUUGUACUGGGCGGCGCCGGCCAUCCUUGUGGAGAGGGCUCGCAUUUGGUUGCGUGUCGGAUCUGCAUCAUUUACUGUGAAAAAAUUAGAGUGUUUAAGGCAGGCUGUCGCUUGAAUACAUUAGCAUGGAAUAAUAAGAUAGGACUUCGGUCUAUUUUGUUGGUUGCGAACCGAGGUAAUGAUUAAUAGGGAUAGUUGGGGGUAUUCAUAUUUAAUUGUCAGAGGUGAAAUUCUUGGAUUUAUGAAAGAUGAACAACUGCGAAAGCAUUUACCAAGGAUGUUUUCAUUAA